ACAUACGCUGCAUGAAGUGAAAGGAAACAAUGUUACCGAUAUUAUUUCCUCCCAUCAAACAUCACCUUCAAGUUCCUCAUACUCAUAGCAUCUUCUUCACUUACCACUUAUCAACCACACCUUCACCAACUACUCCAUAUCACCACCUCCAUGAACCAUUUCAAUCUUGCACCUCUACACUUUUCACCAUCAACAAACAAACUAACCAUCUCCACUUCUUUCAAACUCAAAUAAAACCACCUCCAUAAACACAAUGUAACAACCACUACACCUUCAAAACCACACCUUUUUUU
RNAcentral lists this long non-coding RNA (293 nucleotides) under Lathyrus oleraceus (garden pea). RNAcentral's name for it is "Pisum sativum (pea) long non-coding RNA (PSAT_LNC011063)". Lineage: Eukaryota; Viridiplantae; Streptophyta; Magnoliopsida; Fabales; Fabaceae. The record is from RNAcentral.